This 528-nucleotide ribosomal RNA is filed under the name Symphysodon aequifasciata (blue discus). RNAcentral's name for it is "partial large subunit ribosomal RNA". It matches the Rfam family "Bacterial large subunit ribosomal RNA", at positions 1848 to 2571 of the family's 2925-position model. Lineage: Eukaryota; Metazoa; Chordata; Actinopteri; Cichliformes; Cichlidae. The record is from RNAcentral.
AGAGGUCCCGCCUGCCCAGUGACUUUAAGUUUAACGGCCGCGGUAUUUUGACCGUGCAAAGGUAGCGCAAUCACUUGUCCUUUAAAUGAAGACCUGUAUGAAUGGCACCACGAGGGCUCAACUGUCUCCUUUCUCCUGUCAAUGAAAUUGAUCUCCCCGUGCAGAAGCGGGGAUAAAACCAUAAGACGAGAAGACCCUAUGGAGCUUUAGGCACCAGAACAGACUAUGUUAAGCACCCUAAACACAAAAGACAAAACUAACUAGACCCUAUUCCAAUGCCUUCGGUUGGGGCGACCGCGGGGAAAUAAAAAACCCCCAUGUGGACCAAGAGCACAUCACUCUUACAACCCAGGGCUACAACCCUAAGUAACAGAACCUUCUGACCAGAAUGAUCCGGUAAAACCGAUCAACGAACCGAGUUACCCUAGGGAUAACAGCGCAAUCCCCUUCUAGAGCCCAUAUCGACAAGGGGGUUUACGACCUCGAUGUUGGAUCAGGACAUCCUACUGGUGCAGCCGCUAUUAAGGG